UAGGGAAUCUUCGGCAAUGGACGAAAGUCUGACCGAGCAACGCCGCGUGAGUGAAGAAGGUUUUCGGAUCGUAAAACUCUGUUGGUAGAGAAGAACGUUGGUGAGAGUGGAAAGCUCAUCAAGUGACGGUAACUACCCAGAAAGGAACGGCUAAAUACGUGCCGG
RNAcentral lists this ribosomal RNA (165 nucleotides) under uncultured bacterium. RNAcentral describes it as "partial 16S rRNA". It matches the Rfam family "Bacterial small subunit ribosomal RNA", at positions 355 to 511 of the family's 1533-position model. The record is from RNAcentral.